UACGGGGGGGGCAAGCGUUGUUCGGAAUUACUGGGCGUAAAGGGCUCGUAGGUGGCCAACUAAGUCAGACGUGAAAUCCCUCAGCUUAACUGGGGAAUUGCGUCUGAUACUGGAUGGCUUGAGUUUGGGAGAGGGAUGCGGAAUUCCAGGUGUAGCGGUGAAAUGCGUAGAUAUCCGGAGGAACACCGGUGGCGAAGGCGGCUUCCUGGACCGACACUGACGCUGAGGCGCGAAAGCUAGGGGAGCAAACAGG
Molecule: ribosomal RNA, 253 nt
Filed under: uncultured bacterium
Lineage: Bacteria
Description: partial 16S ribosomal RNA
Rfam family: Bacterial small subunit ribosomal RNA
Source: RNAcentral